CCACAUCCCUCGCAAUUCCCAAACCUACAUAUAUAUUCUUCUUUUCUUUUUCUCUCUCAUCUCUCUCUCUAUCUUCAAAUUCCAUAACCCCCUCAAACAACAUACCUUAAAACCUUUUCCUCAUAUACCAUAUUAAUAUUCAUCACUGCUCCUUAUCCUUCUUCUUUUCCUUUUUCUGGAUGAUUUGAUCUGAUUUAAUUUGAAUUGGAUCUCACUUUCACUUCAAAUCUUUUCUUUUUUCUUUUUUCUUUUCGAUAAAUAAUGGAAAGUCAUCAUCUCCAUCAUCAUCAUCAUCAACAACAAUACCCACCGCCACAACGUCAUAAUAUUAGUGCAGCAACAACAACGAGUGCAGGAACUAAUAACAACGUUGUGAUUGUUGAUGUGACAGGAGAUAGUAGGUUCCCUCAAUGGAGCAUCCAAGAAACAAAGGAGUUCCUAAUGAUCCGUGCGGAGCUGGAUCAGACUUUCAUGGAGACAAAGAGGAACAAGCAGCUCUGGGAAGUCAUCUCCAACACCAUGAAAGAAAAGGGUUACCAUCGAAGCGCUGAGCAGUGCAAGUGCAAGUGGAAAAACCUUGUUACCCGUUAUAAGGGAUGUGAAACGAUGGAGGCAGAAGCAAUGAGGCAGCAAUUCCCAUUCUACAACGAGCUUCAAGCUAUCUUCACCGAUAGAAUGCAGAGGAUGCUUUGGGCCGAAACAGAAGGCGGAGGCGGAGGAGGAGGUUCUUCUAAUAACAAGAAGAAAGCUGCGACAGCGCAGCUGUCUUCGGACGACGAAGAAGAGGAAGAGAGCGAAUUAGGAGAUCCUCAACAAAAGAAUGUAAAGAGAAAGAAAAGAUUAAAGAAGGUUAAGAGGGUGGAAGAUAGUGGUGGUGCGAGUAAUUUGAAGCAUCUGAAGGGGAUUCUGGAGGAGUUUAUGAGGCAACAGAUGGAGAUGGAGGCGCAAUGGAUGUCCGUGUUCGAGGCGAGGGAGAAUGAUCGGAGGUUGAAGGAGUUGGAAUGGAGGCAGACAAUGGAGGCUUUGGAGAAUCAGAGGAUGAUGAUGGAGCAGAGAUGGAGGGAGAGUGAAGAACAAUGGAGGAUUAGGGAAGAAGCUAGGGCUCAUAAGAGAGAUGCUCUUAUCACUGCACUUCUCAACAAGCUUUCAAGACAACAAGAUCAAUAACCAACUUAGUUAGUUAGAGUUAGUUAUCUUUGUUGGUUAGAACUAACUUCCUUUUCAUACUGUGUUUAUGCUACUGAAUUCUCAUGAUGAUGAUGAUGAUGAAGCAAAGCUUAAUUUGACACAUUAUGGAGCUAGCUGAUUCGGUUGUUGCAUGAAAAGAGAUAUUCCAAAUGGUUUGACAUUGACAUGUGCAUGUGAUGAGAUAUCAGAGCUCACACAAUCAUAAGAGUUGAAAAUCCUUUGCCUCAGAUUCUGUGUAUGGAAGUUAUGGAAUGCCAAAAAAAUAUGGGAAGCUCAACACAUUUGAGAGGUUAAGGGAGAUUGAUCGGCCGCGAUCUGAUGUGGUUCUGGAAGCAAAUUGGCCAAUCUUUAAAUUGUAUUCUUAUAUCGUUACUAACCAGAUUUUCAACGAGUGUUACCAGAUUUUGUUCAAAACAACAUUUUAAAUUCAAAAAUUAAUGUUAAAAAACAAUGACCAUAUUCAACGAUUAUAGUGGAGUUGUUCCAAAAAUUACCAACAGAAAUGAUGGAGACAUUAUUAGAAACAAACCUUGUGGUAGCAAUACGACACAAACCGAAGGAGAUCGGCCGUGGUCUGAAUCCUUAACAAAGAAUAGAGGCAAUCUGAGAUGGGAGAAAGUAUUGAUAAAGAAAUAAAAUAUAAAUAAGAAGAUAGGUAUCAAACAGAAUAAAAAAAAAAAUAAAUUGAAAUUAAAAUAGAAAUAAAAAGAAUAAAUUAAAAUUAAGUACAAAGAGAAUUACUCUACUUAUACUAAAUUUUUUAAUACAACAAAAAAUGAACUCCUCAAUUUAAUUUGUCAAUAUUAUAGUUUGGGAAUUGAUUCGAAGGAACUCCUCGACCUUCUACUUAAUUCUCCGAUGCAAUAAGAGAGGAACUCAAUUGUCUACAUCAUGGUUUCAUCACGAAACUAAAAUGAAAUUUUUAAACCUCUAAAUCAUUCUAUACUAUGGCUACAAUAACUAAAGAACCUCUUAUUAGAUUAAAAUAAAGAAAACUUCAAGUAUGACAAGUUCCACCACCGGAAUUGUCAAACCUGUGGACUACUGUCAUGAAUGAAGAAGAGAGCUAGCAUAGUAGAGUUGCCAUUGGCACCUCCGAGUUGGUGAAGGAUGACAAUAAUGACUCAGAUUUGAGGUGACUCUGAGACGACAACAAAGCCAAAAGCAGUGCCGAGGUUGGCGUUGAUGAACGGUGGAGAUCCAUUCCGUCGCGUCCCUCCUAUUUAGCCAAGCCACCACCACUUACGCCAACUUUGGAUCAACUCAUUGUGUUUGAUUUUUGUUUGUGGGCUUCAAUUUUUUCAAUAGGAUCCCAGAAGAAUUUUAAAUUUUAGUAGUAGAAUAGAAAUAAAAUAACAAAUAUUUUUUGAGAAUUUAUUGUUGUUAAUUAUAAUUAGGUUAUAUA
Arachis stenosperma is the source of this 2593-nucleotide RNA transcript. It is a transcript of the gene named trihelix transcription factor GT-3b-like, with no coding region annotated. Lineage: Eukaryota; Viridiplantae; Streptophyta; Magnoliopsida; Fabales; Fabaceae. The transcript has 4 exons. The record is from RefSeq and is a predicted model, not a curated record.